RNAcentral lists this ribosomal RNA (507 nucleotides) under Cladosporium cladosporioides. RNAcentral describes it as "eukaryotic LSU rRNA". The stretch from base 195 to 348 matches the Rfam family "5.8S ribosomal RNA". The record is from RNAcentral. Lineage: Eukaryota; Fungi; Ascomycota; Dothideomycetes; Cladosporiales; Cladosporiaceae.
ACAAGGUCUCCGUAGGUGAACCUGCGGAGGGAUCAUUACAAGUGACCCCGGUCUAACCACCGGGAUGUUCAUAACCCUUUGUUGUCCGACUCUGUUGCCUCCGGGGCGACCCUGCCUUCGGGCGGGGGCUCCGGGUGGACACUUCAAACUCUUGCGUAACUUUGCAGUCUGAGUAAACUUAAUUAAUAAAUUAAAACUUUUAACAACGGAUCUCUUGGUUCUGGCAUCGAUGAAGAACGCAGCGAAAUGCGAUAAGUAAUGUGAAUUGCAGAAUUCAGUGAAUCAUCGAAUCUUUGAACGCACAUUGCGCCCCCUGGUAUUCCGGGGGGCAUGCCUGUUCGAGCGUCAUUUCACCACUCAANGCCUCGCUUGGUAUUGGGCAACGCGGUCCGCCGCGUGCCUCAAAUCGACCGGCUGGGUCUUCUGUCCCCUAAGCGUUGUGGAAACUAUUCGCUAAAGGGUGUUCGGGAGGCUACGCCGUAAAACAACCCCAUUUCUAAGGUUGAC